RNAcentral lists this ribosomal RNA (2363 nucleotides) under Staphylococcus aureus H61003. RNAcentral describes it as "bacterial LSU rRNA". It matches the Rfam family "Bacterial large subunit ribosomal RNA", at positions 556 to 2925 of the family's 2925-position model. Lineage: Bacteria; Bacillati; Bacillota; Bacilli; Caryophanales; Staphylococcaceae. The record is from RNAcentral.
CCGUGUGCUUACAAGUAGUCAGAGCCCGUUAAUGGGUGAUGGCGUGCCUUUUGUAGAAUGAACCGGCGAGUUACGAUUUGAUGCAAGGUUAAGCAGUAAAUGUGGAGCCGUAGCGAAAGCGAGUCUGAAUAGGGCGUUUAGUAUUUGGUCGUAGACCCGAAACCAGGUGAUCUACCCUUGGUCAGGUUGAAGUUCAGGUAACACUGAAUGGAGGACCGAACCGACUUACGUUGAAAAGUGAGCGGAUGAACUGAGGGUAGCGGAGAAAUUCCAAUCGAACCUGGAGAUAGCUGGUUCUCUCCGAAAUAGCUUUAGGGCUAGCCUCAAGUGAUGAUUAUUGGAGGUAGAGCACUGUUUGGACGAGGGGCCCCUCUCGGGUUACCGAAUUCAGACAAACUCCGAAUGCCAAUUAAUUUAACUUGGGAGUCAGAACAUGGGUGAUAAGGUCCGUGUUCGAAAGGGAAACAGCCCAGACCACCAGCUAAGGUCCCAAAAUAUAUGUUAAGUGGAAAAGGAUGUGGCGUUGCCCAGACAACUAGGAUGUUGGCUUAGAAGCAGCCAUCAUUUAAAGAGUGCGUAAUAGCUCACUAGUCGAGUGACACUGCGCCGAAAAUGUACCGGGGCUAAACAUAUUACCGAAGCUGUGGAUUGUCCUUUGGACAAUGGUAGGAGAGCGUUCUAAGGGCGUUGAAGCAUGAUCGUAAGGACAUGUGGAGCGCUUAGAAGUGAGAAUGCCGGUGUGAGUAGCGAAAGACGGGUGAGAAUCCCGUCCACCGAUUGACUAAGGUUUCCAGAGGAAGGCUCGUCCGCUCUGGGUUAGUCGGGUCCUAAGCUGAGGCCGACAGGCGUAGGCGAUGGAUAACAGGUUGAUAUUCCUGUACCACCUAUAAUCGUUUUAAUCGAUGGGGGGACGCAGUAGGAUAGGCGAAGCGUGCGAUUGGAUUGCACGUCUAAGCAGUAAGGCUGAGUAUUAGGCAAAUCCGGUACUCGUUAAGGCUGAGCUGUGAUGGGGAGAAGACAUUGAGUCUUCGAGUCGUUGAUUUCACACUGCCGAGAAAAGCCUCUAGAUAGAAAAUAGGUGCCCGUACCGCAAACCGACACAGGUAGUCAAGAUGAGAAUUCUAAGGUGAGCGAGCGAACUCUCGUUAAGGAACUCGGCAAAAUGACCCCGUAACUUCGGGAGAAGGGGUGCUCUUUAGGGUUAACGCCCAGAAGAGCCGCAGUGAAUAGGCCCAAGCGACUGUUUAUCAAAAACACAGGUCUCUGCUAAACCGUAAGGUGAUGUAUAGGGGCUGACGCCUGCCCGGUGCUGGAAGGUUAAGAGGAGUGGUUAGCUUCUGCGAAGCUACGAAUCGAAGCCCCAGUAAACGGCGGCCGUAACUAUAACGGUCCUAAGGUAGCGAAAUUCCUUGUCGGGUAAGUUCCGACCCGCACGAAAGGCGUAACGAUUUGGGCACUGUCUCAACGAGAGACUCGGUGAAAUCAUAGUACCUGUGAAGAUGCAGGUUACCCGCGACAGGACGGAAAGACCCCGUGGAGCUUUACUGUAGCCUGAUAUUGAAAUUCGGCACAGCUUGUACAGGAUAGGUAGGAGCCUUUGAAACGUGAGCGCUAGCUUACGUGGAGGCGCUGGUGGGAUACUACCCUAGCUGUGUUGGCUUUCUAACCCGCACCACUUAUCGUGGUGGGAGACAGUGUCAGGCGGGCAGUUUGACUGGGGCGGUCGCCUCCUAAAAGGUAACGGAGGCGCUCAAAGGUUCCCUCAGAAUGGUUGGAAAUCAUUCAUAGAGUGUAAAGGCAUAAGGGAGCUUGACUGCGAGACCUACAAGUCGAGCAGGGUCGAAAGACGGACUUAGUGAUCCGGUGGUUCCGCAUGGAAGGGCCAUCGCUCAACGGAUAAAAGCUACCCCGGGGAUAACAGGCUUAUCUCCCCCAAGAGUUCACAUCGACGGGGAGGUUUGGCACCUCGAUGUCGGCUCAUCGCAUCCUGGGGCUGUAGUCGGUCCCAAGGGUUGGGCUGUUCGCCCAUUAAAGCGGUACGCGAGCUGGGUUCAGAACGUCGUGAGACAGUUCGGUCCCUAUCCGUCGUGGGCGUAGGAAAUUUGAGAGGAGCUGUCCUUAGUACGAGAGGACCGGGAUGGACAUACCUCUGGUGUACCAGUUGUCGUGCCAACGGCAUAGCUGGGUAGCUAUGUGUGGACGGGAUAAGUGCUGAAAGCAUCUAAGCAUGAAGCCCCCCUCAAGAUGAGAUUUCCCAACUUCGGUUAUAAGAUCCCUCAAAGAUGAUGAGGUUAAUAGGUUCGAGGUGGAAGCAUGGUGACAUGUGGAGCUGACGAAUACUAAUCGAUCGAAGACUUAAUCAA